Molecule: ribosomal RNA, 1014 nt
Filed under: Triticum aestivum (bread wheat)
Lineage: Eukaryota; Viridiplantae; Streptophyta; Magnoliopsida; Poales; Poaceae
Description: partial small subunit ribosomal RNA
Source: RNAcentral
AUGGGAGUUGGAAGAGUUGUCUUGUGUGUACAGAUGAGGAGUCUUAUUCUGAACAGAUUGAAAUGUGCGGCAAAUUGUAGUUCAAAUACAGUGCUCGCGGACAAAAACCAUCUAAAAGAAUUGUCACUAGAGUGGACUGAACAAAGAGAGGAAAAAUACCAAGAAGAAGAAGUUUCCAAUGCCGAGGGUGUCUUUGAGCAGCUAAUACCUUCACGCAAUUUGGAAGCCUUGUUUAUUAGAUUAUACUUUGGUCGGCGGUAUCCCACCUGGUUUGGUACCACCUAUUUGUGUUCACUCAUACACUUGACCCUCAGAUAUUCACGAUCGUGUGUGGAUCUUCCACCGCUUGGGCAGCUACCAAACUUGAAAUAUCUGUUAAUUGUUCGAUCAUAUGCACUUACCAAGGUCGGACCUGAAUUUGUUGGCUACAGGAAUCGUGAUCCCAUAUGCAGUGAGUUAGUUGCUUUCCCUAAACUUGAAUGGUUGAUCAUCAGGGAUAUGCCCAACUGGGAGGAGUGGUCUUUUUUUGAAGAAGUAGAAGAAUUUGCUGUCGAUGAAGGGAGAGAGGAUGGAGCUGCUGAGACUCGUCCAGAGGACGCCCAAUCUGCAAGGUUGUCACUGCUGCCUCGUUUCGUGAUGUUGAGACUCGAACAUUGCCCAAAGCUGAGGACUCUCCCGCGGCAGGUUGGAGAGGACACCACCAACUUGAAGAUGCUCAAAUUAAUUGGAGCAAACAACUUGAAGGCUGUCGAAGAUUUCCCACACCUCGCCGACCUCCUCCUUAUUGAGAAAUGUGAAGGCAUGGAGAGGAUCUCCAACCUCCCUCAAGUGACGAAACUGCAUGUCCAUGGUUGUCCAAACUUAAGCCAUGUAGAGGGGCUGGGAAGUUUGCAACAGCUAUGGCUGGGUGAGGAUAUGCAAGAGGUCUCUUCCCGCUGGGUGCCUGGGCUUCAAGUGCAGCACCAACGACUUCAUGGCGAAUACCUAGAUGUUUACACGCUGUCUACCAGUUAG